GACGAACGCUGGCGGCGUGCUUAACACAUGCAAGUCGAACGGAAAGGCCUCGGCUUGCUGGGGUACUCGAGUGGCGAACGGGUGAGUAACACGUGGGUGAUCUGCCUUGCACUCUGGGAUAAGCUUGGGAAACUGGGUCUAAUACCGGAUAUGAACUGCCUUUAGUGUGGUGGUUGGAAAGUUUUUUCGGUGCAAGAUGAGCUCGCGGCCUAUCAGCUUGUUGGUGGGGUAAUGGCCUACCAAGGCGUCGACGGGUAGCCGGCCUGAGAGGGUGUACGGCCACAUUGGGACUGAGAUACGGCCCAGACUCCUACGGGAGGCAGCAGUGGGGAAUAUUGCACAAUGGGCGGAAGCCUGAUGCAGCGACGCCGCGUGGGGGAUGACGGCCUUCGGGUUGUAAACUCCUUUCGACAGGGACGAAGCUUUUUGUGACGGUACCUGUAUAAGAAGCGCCGGCUAACUACGUG
This 467-nucleotide ribosomal RNA is filed under the name uncultured bacterium. RNAcentral describes it as "partial 16S ribosomal RNA". It matches the Rfam family "Bacterial small subunit ribosomal RNA", at positions 28 to 507 of the family's 1533-position model. The record is from RNAcentral.